GAUGAACGCUGGCGGCGUGCCUAAUACAUGCAAGUCGAGCGAACGGACGAGAAGCUUGCUUCUCUGAUGUUAGCGGCGGACGGGUAAGUAACACGUGGAUAACCUACCUAUAAGACUGGGAUAACUUCGGGAAACCGGAGCUAAUACCGGAUAAUAUUUUGAACCGCAUGGUUCAAAAGUGAAAGACGGUCUUGCUGUCACUUAUAGAUGGAUCCGCGCUGCAUUAGCUAGUUGGUAAGGUAACGGCUUACCAAGGCAACGAUGCAUAGCCGACCUGAGAGGGUGAUCGGCCACACUGGAACUGAGACACGGUCCAGACUCCUACGGGAGGCAGCAGUAGGGAAUCUUCCGCAAUGGGCGAAAGCCUGACGGAGCAACGCCGCGUGAGUGAUGAAGGUCUUCGGAUCGUAAAACUCUGUUAUCAGGGAAGAACAUAUGUGUAAGUAACUGUGCACAUCUUGACGGUACCUAAUCAGAAAGCCACGGCUAACUACGUGCCAGCAGCCGCGGUAAUACGUAGGUGGCAAGCGUUAUCCGGAAUUAUUGGGCGUAAAGCGCGCGUAGGCGGUUUUUUAAGUCUGAUGUGAAAGCCCACGGCUCAACCGUGGAGGGUCAUUGGAAACUGGAAAACUUGAGUGCAGAAGAGGAAAGUGGAAUUCCAUGUGUAGCGGUGAAAUGCGCAGAGAUAUGGAGGAACACCAGUGGCGAAGGCGACUUUCUGGUCUGUAACUGACGCUGAUGUGCGAAAGCGUGGGGAUCAAACAGGAUUAGAUACCCUGGUAGUCCACGCCGUAAACGAUGAGUGCUAAGUGUUAGGGGGUUUCCGCCCCUUAGUGCUGCAGCUAACGCAUUAAGCACUCCGCCUGGGGAGUACGACCGCAAGGUUGAAACUCAAAGGAAUUGACGGGGACCCGCACAAGCGGUGGAGCAUGUGGUUUAAUUCGAGGCAACGCGAAGAACCUUACCAAAUCUUGACAUCCUUUGACAACUCUAGAGAUAGAGCUUUCCCCUUCGGGGGACAAAGUGACAGGUGGUGCAUGGUUGUCGUCAGCUCGUGUCGUGAGAUGUUGGGUUAAGUCCCGCAACGAGCGCAACCCUUAAGCUUAGUUGCCAUCAUUAAGUUGGGCACUCUAAGUUGACUGCCGGUGACAAACCGGAGGAAGGUGGGGAUGACGUCAAAUCAUCAUGCCCCUUAUGAUUUGGGCUACACACGUGCUACAAUGGACAAUACAAAGGGCAGCGAAACCGCGAGGUCAAGCAAAUCCCAUAAAGUUGUUCUCAGUUCGGAUUGUAGUCUGCAACUCGACUACAUGAAGCUGGAAUCGCUAGUAAUCGUAGAUCAGCAUGCUACGGUGAAUACGUUCCCGGGUCU
Molecule: ribosomal RNA, 1372 nt
Filed under: uncultured bacterium
Lineage: Bacteria
Description: bacterial SSU rRNA
Rfam family: Bacterial small subunit ribosomal RNA
Source: RNAcentral